This is a long non-coding RNA of Neopsephotus bourkii (Bourke's parrot), 915 nucleotides long. RefSeq lists it as uncharacterized. The record is from RefSeq and is a predicted model, not a curated record. The transcript has 3 exons. NCBI's taxonomy places the organism in Eukaryota, Metazoa, Chordata, Aves, Psittaciformes, Psittacidae.
UGGUUUAGAAGGGAGUUCAAAGUGCGUCUGAUCCAACCGCCUGCAAUGAGCAGGGACAUCUUGCACUAGACUAGGUUGUCCAGAACCACAUCCAGCCUGGCCCUGAAUGUCUCCAGGGAUGGCGCAUCCAUCACCUCUCUGGGCAACCUGCUCCAGUGUUUUACCCCCUUCACUGUAAAAAUUUCUUCCUCUCUUCCAGCCUGAAUCUCCCCUCUUCUAGUUUAAAAUAAUUGCCCCUCAUGCUGCCGCAACAGGCCCUGCUAAGAAAUCUUUCCCCAUUUUUCUAAUAGGCCCCUUUUAAGAACUGAAAAGUCAAAAUAAGGUCUCCCUGUAGUCUUCUCCAAGCUGAACAACCCCAGCUCUCUCAGCCUUUCCUCAUAGGAGAAGUGUUUCAUUCAAGGUUUACUGUGGGUUUGUUUGGGUUCUUUUUCAACAAUUUUUGGUGAGUCUCUAUUAGCAUGCUUCCUUGCCUCAACAAGAGAUGGUUGUGACAGUGGUUUUGUAUAGCGGGCAAUGACAGGACAUGCCACUUCACCAGGAAUCUUCUACCUACUAGAUAAAGAACAUUUAGCAUACAGUCUUGCCACACACCAUUAAGAGAAAGGCUGUGUUUCUCUGUAGCUGCAGAGCUAGCAUUUAACCUGGAUCCAUCACUGAAAUUAUACAUGAUGCUCUAGAAGAUUACAAUGCUGGUGGUUUUGCUUGAUGAAGGACCUUCACAGAGAGACAUAAUUCAGCAUUUGGGAGAAUGCAAUUUGUGUUAAACCUAGUUGGUUACAUCAGUCAGGUCACAGAAACUGGACGCUCUUGUGACUGUGCUGUCAAGAGCAAUUGGUUCUGAGCUAGCUGCAGAAAUACUCAUUUAUUUACUCUUGUAAAUUUAAUUGAACAUUUCCAGAAGGAAAUUGGACACUG